This 459-nucleotide long non-coding RNA is filed under the name Dromaius novaehollandiae (emu). Its description in RNAcentral is "lncRNA (ENSDNVG00000007680.1)". Lineage: Eukaryota; Metazoa; Chordata; Aves; Casuariiformes; Dromaiidae. The record is from RNAcentral.
CAGCACUGCUCUUAUUUGUGUUUCCCACACAGAAUCACAGCUUUUCACACCUCCUCAGUGUCACCGUAUUUAGGAACUGAGGCAAUCUGAUGUUUAACAUGCCAGGCUGUGAUUGCUGGAACUUGGAGUUUCCAUCGUGGACUUUCUGGCAUAGAAACCUUUUGAGAUAUGGUGGCCAUAAUUAAAUGGAAUACUCAGAUUCUCAAUGCACAUUUAAAAGCUGAAAUAUCCACAGCAGCACUGCAGGGAUGGCAGGUUAGUUCCGCUCAGCAGUCUUACGCCUCAAUCCCUAUAUCAUCGGAGUAGCAGAGAUUGGAGUAAGAAUUGUGAAGAAAAGUACUGCUUGGCUACCUGUUAAACUCAGCAACACCUCAGGCAAAGCAAAAAACAAUGUCUUCACCUUAUUAGUUGACUGAGAGGCUAAAUAAAUUGGGAGUUUGGCAAGUGUGACUUGCUUAC